GAUGAACGCUGGCGGCGUGCUUAACACAUGCAAGUCGAACGAAGCGGUUAAAUGGAUUUCUUCGGAAUGAAGCUUGGCUGACUUAGUGGCAGACGGGUGAGUAACGCGUGGGUAACCUGCCUCAUACAGGGGGAUAACAGUUAGAAAUGGCUGCUAAUACCGCAUAUGCGCACAGUACCGCAUGGUACAAGGCGGAAAGAUUUAUCGGUAUGAGAUGGACCCGCGUUGGAUUAGCUGGUUGGCAGGGUAACGGCCUACCAAGGCGACGAUCCAUAGCCGGCCUGAGAGGGUGAACGGCCACAUUGGGACUGAGACACGGCCCAA
RNAcentral lists this ribosomal RNA (324 nucleotides) under uncultured bacterium. RNAcentral's name for it is "bacterial SSU rRNA". It matches the Rfam family "Bacterial small subunit ribosomal RNA", at positions 28 to 334 of the family's 1533-position model. The record is from RNAcentral.